RNAcentral lists this non-coding RNA (117 nucleotides) under Gorilla gorilla gorilla (western lowland gorilla). The record is from Rfam by way of RNAcentral. Lineage: Eukaryota; Metazoa; Chordata; Mammalia; Primates; Hominidae.
GCCGGGUGUGGUGGCUCAUGCCCGUAAUCCUAGCACUUUGGGAGGCUGAGGCAGGAGGUUUGCUUGAGCUCAGGAGUUCUAGACCAGCCUGGGUUAUAUAGUGAGACCCUGUCUCUA